This 377-nucleotide ribosomal RNA is filed under the name uncultured eukaryote. Its description in RNAcentral is "partial 18S ribosomal RNA". It matches the Rfam family "Eukaryotic small subunit ribosomal RNA", at positions 592 to 976 of the family's 1831-position model. The record is from RNAcentral.
CAAUAGCGUAUAUUAAAGUUGUUGCAGUUAAAAAGCUCGUAGUUGGAUUUCGGGGCAGCCUGGCUGGUCCGCCGCAAGGCGAGUACUGGUCAGCCGCCCUUCCUCUCGAAAGCCCCGACUGCUCUUUAUUGCAGUGGUCGGGUAGUUCGGGACGUUUACUUUGAAAAAAUUAGAGUGUUCAAGGCAGGCCUACGCCUGAAUACAUUAGCAUGGAAUAAUGGAAGAGGACCUCGGUCCUAUUUUGUUGGUUUCCAGGACCGAAGUAAUGAUUAAGAGGGACAGUUGGGGGCAUUCGUAUUUAAUUGUCAGAGGUGAAAUUCUCGGAUUUAUGAAAGACGAACAACUGCGAAAGCAUUUGCCAAGGAUGUUCUCAUUAA